This 449-nucleotide ribosomal RNA is filed under the name uncultured bacterium. RNAcentral's name for it is "SSU rRNA". It matches the Rfam family "Bacterial small subunit ribosomal RNA", at positions 26 to 518 of the family's 1533-position model. The record is from RNAcentral.
AGAACGAACGCUGGCGGCAUGCCUAACACAUGCAAGUCGAACGAGACCUUCGGGUCUAGUGGCGCACGGGUGCGUAACGCGUGGGAAUCUGCCCUUAGGUACGGAAUAACAGUGAGAAAUUACUGCUAAUACCGUAUGAUGUCUUCGGACCAAAGAUUUAUCGCCUAGGGAUGAGCCCGCGUUGGAUUAGCUAGUUGGUGGGAUAAAGGCCUACCAAGGCGACGAUCCAUAGCUGGUCUGAGAGGAUGAUCAGCCACACUGGGACUGAGACACGGCCCAGACUCCUACGGGAGGCAGCAGUGGGGAAUAUUGCGCAAUGGGCGAAAGCCUGACGCAGCGACGCCGCGUGAGGGAUGAAGGCCUUCGGGUCGUAAACCUCUUUCAGCAGGGAGAAGCGAAAGUGACGGUACCUGCAGAGAAGCACCGGCUAACUACGUGCCAGCAGCCGC